Molecule: ribosomal RNA, 406 nt
Filed under: uncultured bacterium
Lineage: Bacteria
Description: partial 16S ribosomal RNA
Rfam family: Bacterial small subunit ribosomal RNA
Source: RNAcentral
AUUGAACGCUGGCGGCAGGCCUAACACAUGCAAGUCGAACGAGUGGCGGACGGGUGAGUAAUGUCUGGGGAACUGCCCGAUGGAGGGGGAUAACUACUGGAAACGGUAGCUAAUACCGCCUACCAUCGGAUGUGCCCAUAGGGGAUGAGCUUGUAGGGGAGGUAAUGGCUCAACUAGGCGACGAUCCCUAGCUGGUCGGAGAGGAUGACCAGUCACACUGGAAGUGAGACACGGCCCAGACUCCUACGGGGGGCAGCAGUGGGGAAUAUUGCACAAUGGGCGGAAGCCUGAGGCAGCCAUGCCGCGUGUAUGAAGAAGGCCUUAGGGUUGUAAAUUACUUUCAGUCGGGAGGCGUUACCGGCAGAAGAAGCACCGGCUAACUCCGUGCCAGCAGCCGCGGUAAUUC